RNAcentral lists this unclassified non-coding RNA (375 nucleotides) under uncultured Chitinophagales bacterium. Its description in RNAcentral is "contains 16S-23S intergenic spacer region". The record is from RNAcentral. Lineage: Bacteria; Pseudomonadati; Bacteroidota; Chitinophagia; Chitinophagales.
UCACUGCUUACGCAGGCAGUUUCACUAGAGUGCCCGGCAUUACCCGCUGGCAACUAAUGAUAAGGGUUGCGCUCGUUGCGGGACUUAACCCAACACCUCACGGCACGAGCUGACGACAACCAUGCAGCACCUUGCUUUGUGCCCCGAAGGGAAGCUCCGUUUCCGGAGCGGUCACUCGCAUUCUAGCCCAGGUAAGGUUCCUCGCGUACCAUCGAAUUAAACCACAUGCUCCUCCGCUUGUGCGGGCCCCCGUCAAUUCCUUUGAGUUUUAACCUUGCGGCCGUACUCCCCAGGUGGAAUACUUAACGCUUUUGCUUGGACGCGUACCGCUAAUGCGGCACACAUCGAGUAUUCAUCGUUUAGGGCGUGGACUAC